Molecule: small RNA, 134 nt
Filed under: Salmonella enterica subsp. enterica serovar Senftenberg
Lineage: Bacteria; Pseudomonadati; Pseudomonadota; Gammaproteobacteria; Enterobacterales; Enterobacteriaceae
Also listed under: 2 other names
Description: RtT sRNA
Rfam family: RtT RNA
About the family: This family represents a bacterial cis-regulatory element known as RtT RNA. The exact function of RtT is unknown although it is thought that it may be involved in changing the cellular response in relation to amino acid starvation.
Source: RNAcentral
UGCAUCUGAAGCCUGACGAGGAUGAGAACCUCCGGGGGCAAGAGGUUCGACUCGAGCGAAGCGAGAGAACGUUGCGUCAGCAACGGCCCGCAUGGCGAGCCACGCAGUGGCGAGUCAUCCUCUAUCACCGGCAG